GAAUCCAUCCAGGACCUGCACCCCUGAAUCCGAAGAUGAAGAAAUAUGCGUAAGUUGAUUGCAUCCAUUAAUCAAAUAUCUACAACACAUUGUACUGAUGUGCUGAAGUUUCGAUGAUUUCGAUUGGUCACUGACAUAACCUCCUAUUUCUCAUUUUGUUUAUAGGUAUUCAACGUGAGGAAUUUCAUACUUUUGGUGUGGUGCUAGCAAGUAUAGUGACCAAAGAUAGUGAUGAGAAAGGGUGGAGCUGAGUAUGCCACACAUGGAUAUGAUUAUUCCCCGUAUGUUCUUUUUGGCAAUCCACUUCAUCACUGACUCAUCUGUGUAUGGGUGAGCUAACAAGCAUGUAUUAUGUCUUCCCUCUUUCUUUGUAAGUGAAGGAUUUCAGAUUGCUGUGCAUUAUUCAACUGCUAUACUUGUGAAAGAGAAACGUGCUAAACUAUAGUACUUCCUCCGUUGCAUGAUGAGUUUCAGCGACUCUUAUUUUGGGAUGGAGGGAGUAGUAAAUUACUUUUUUUUUCUUUGUUGAUGUGAUAAUAAUUAAGUUUAAAAAUAUGUCAUCUUUUAUUUCAGUAAUAGGGUAGAGCUAAGGUGGCAUAAGUGUGUGGCUACGGAUUACAUCACGGAUUAUGUGCUACUUUAUUAGUUGAAGUCUCUUUGUUCGGUUAGUUCUCUAAAACAGAACCAUUUCUCCUGGUGUAUAUGUUUCUUGGCAACAUUUGGUGUAAUACUAAUCUUCCAGAGAUUAUUGUAAGAAAUAACUAUAUUUAGUAUCUUUAUCUCAUCAAUGGGCUAAUUCUAUAAAAAGAACUAAUAAGGAGAUUUCUUAGCAGUACUGUAUAUGUUUGGAGCAAUGAGGUCAUUUUAUCCUAUGUUACUUUCUUUCUCUUGCAUUUCCUAAUUUUGCUUUCCACUCCAUUUUUUCAGGUUCCAAAGUUUGGCCACAACUAGCUUGAUUCGGAGACAUUUCGUAUUAGGAGUUAAACUUUGGUUUGGAGGCAUUGAGCUUUGCUAGUAACUAGCUUUGUUACUUGGUAUACUUCUGUCAGCAUUCAGGUAAACAACUAUCUACCACAUUGUUUAAUCUGUGGUUUACCCGGUGCCAAGUGUACUAUAUUGCUAGAUUUAACUUUAACCUAUGUGUUGCUCCGUAUGUAUCUCGGCAUAAAUGGUUCAUCAUACUAGGAUGCAAUGUAGUGAUCUUACUUCUGUUGCUUCUUGGUGAAUAUAAAUUAUAUUGCGUUUUCAUGGAAGCAGGAGCCCCGUAGUUGUGUAGCGGGUCGCGGGAGAGGCAGCCGGUGAGUGUGAGCUGGACGGGAAAGUGAUGCCUGCGAUGGCGAACCAUGCCGGCGGGCAGGGCAGGGUCGACGCUCUAAAUGUACCGCCUGACAGCUUGUCUUAGUCUUAAUAAAAGUGCAUAUCUGCAGCAUCCUUUCAUUUAUUUGGCAUAUCCUACUUUAAAAAAUAUCCUUGACUCGCAUCGAUUUCAAAUAACUGAAGUAUCUUCUCUGCUCAUGUUUCCACAUAAAGCCCAAUCAUGUAUAUGUACUGAUGGCAGCAUGCAUU
This 1566-nucleotide long non-coding RNA is filed under the name Triticum aestivum (bread wheat). RNAcentral's name for it is "long non-coding RNA (TAES_LNC026068)". The record is from RNAcentral. Lineage: Eukaryota; Viridiplantae; Streptophyta; Magnoliopsida; Poales; Poaceae.